Molecule: non-coding RNA, 45 nt
Organism: Trichobilharzia regenti
Lineage: Eukaryota; Metazoa; Platyhelminthes; Trematoda; Strigeidida; Schistosomatidae
Source: Rfam
AUCCAGAUGACGAGUCCCAAACAGGACGAAAUGUGCAUCCUGGAU